This 253-nucleotide ribosomal RNA is filed under the name uncultured prokaryote. RNAcentral's name for it is "partial 16S ribosomal RNA". It matches the Rfam family "Bacterial small subunit ribosomal RNA", at positions 524 to 776 of the family's 1533-position model. The record is from RNAcentral.
UACGUAGGGUGCAAGCGUUAAUCGGAAUUACUGGGCGUAAAGCGUGCGUAGACGGUUCCGUAAGUCGGGUGUGAAAGCCCCGGGCUCAACCUGGGAAUUGCAUUCGAGACUGCGAAGCUAGGGUGCGGAAGAGGGAAGCGGAAUUUCUGGUGUAGCGGUGAAAUGCGUAGAUAUCAGAAGGAACACCAGUGGCGAAAGCGGCUUCCUGGUCCAGUACCGACGUUCAGGCACGAAAGCGUGGGGAGCAAACAGG